ACUCAAAUGAAUUGACGGGGGCCCGCACAAGCAGCGGAGCGUGUGGUUUAAUUCGACGCAACGCGCAACACCUUACCAGGGUUUGACAUCCCCGGAACCUGCCUGAAAGGGCGGGGUGCCUUCGGGAGCCGGGAGACAGGUGCUGCAUGGCUGUCGUCAGCUCGUGUCGUGAGAUGUUGGGUUAAGUCCCGCAACGAGCGCAACCCCCGUGGCUAGUUACGAGGUGUGUCUAGCCAGACUGCCGGAACCAAACCGGAGGAAGGUGGGGAUGAUGUCAAGUCAGCAUGGCCCUUACAUCCUGGGCGACACACACGCUACAAUGGCCGGGACAAUGGGCAGCCAAGCGGUAACGCGGAGCCAAUCCCCCAAACCCGGUCUCAGUUCAGAUCGUGGGCUGCAACUCGCCCACGUGAAGGCGGAGUUGCUAGUAACCGCCGGUCAGCAUUACGGCGGUGAAUAUGUUCCCGGGCCUUGUACACACCGCCCGU
RNAcentral lists this ribosomal RNA (488 nucleotides) under uncultured bacterium. RNAcentral's name for it is "partial 16S ribosomal RNA". It matches the Rfam family "Bacterial small subunit ribosomal RNA", at positions 899 to 1397 of the family's 1533-position model. The record is from RNAcentral.